This 997-nucleotide long non-coding RNA is filed under the name Monodelphis domestica (gray short-tailed opossum). RNAcentral describes it as "lncRNA (ENSMODG00000041863.1)". The record is from RNAcentral. Lineage: Eukaryota; Metazoa; Chordata; Mammalia; Didelphimorphia; Didelphidae.
GGAAAAUGAUCUGAACUUGGAGUUAGAAAGAAGUUCAAGUCUCAUCUGUGAAUUUUAGUUUUAUUUCAUCCUUCUUACUCUUUAGAAUUCUAGCAAUCAGGAAUGUAUACACCCCCACUUAAGGAUUAAGUGUAGGGGAGGAUGGUCAGUGACCUGUGUGUGCUAGCAAGUGACAAAUCAGAAACAACUGACUGACCUCCUGGGAUAACCUAAGCCAAGUUUAAGCCUCCAUGGUACAUGUGAGACACAGGAAGUGAUGUAAAGAAUGGCCUUUAUAUUUCCUAUCACUUCCUGUGAGGGGGACUUUUGUGGACUUGGGUGGUGGAAUUUUACAUGGAAGAGCUCUGAAGUAUGGGCCUAGGUGAAAUGACUUCCCUGAACAGCCACGGCCAAGUUAAAUUUAAUCUUCUGGGAAGGCCCCUUGACUGAGAGGCCUCUGAACUCAUACUGGCUCAGGAAAAGAACAUGUUCUUUUGGGUAGAGAUGUGAAAGGGGGUCUACUUUCUGAACCAUGCAGCAAAUUAAUUCAACUACCAAUAAGCUAUGGCCUCUGUGAAGAUAACAAUUCAGAAAAUUUCUUGGCUUUCAGGUAUGUGACAUUUUUCUUAAGUGAGCUUCCUCAUAACUUUCGAAAUAACCAACUUCACUCUUAUGCCUCAACUUUUUGACAAGUAAUGGAUGUCAUUUGCUCAAAGUUUUUCUUUACUAUUAUGAGAUAUCUUGUAAUAUGGAAAAGUAUUAGGAGAAACAUUUGUGUCUGCUCCUGUGGCUCAACUUAAGUUGGAAGAUGAAAUAGAAAACUUAUUUUUCUCAAUUCCAAGAAAAAUUUUUAUCAAAAAUUUAUUUUUAAUUUUGAGUUCCAAAUUCUAUCACUUUUCUCUUUCUCCCCUCCUCCUUGAGAAAAUAAGCAGGCUGAUUUAGGUUAUAUGUGCCAUGCAAAACUUAUUUCCAUAUUAGUCAUGUUGCAAAAUAAAACAUAGUCCAAAACAAAAACCCA